GACGAACGCUGGCGGCGUGCCUAAUACAUGCAAGUAGAACGCUGAAGCUUGGUGCUUGCACCGAGCGGAUGAGUUGCGAACGGGUGAGUAACGCGUAGGUAACCUGCCUGGUAGCGGGGGAUAACUAUUGGAAACGAUAGCUAAUACCGCAUAAGAGUAGAUGUUGCAUGACAUUUGCUUAAAAGGUGCAAUUGCAUCACUACCAGAUGGACCUGCGUUGUAUUAGCUAGUUGGUGAGGUAACGGCUCACCAAGGCAACGAUACAUAGCCGACCUGAGAGGGUGAUCGGCCACACUGGGACUGAGACACGGCCCAGACUCCUACGGGAGGUAGCAGUAGGGAAUCUUCGGCAAUGGACGGAAGUCUGACCGAGCAACGCCGCGUGAGUGAAGAAGGUUUUCGGAUCGUAAAGCUCUGUUGUAAGAGAAGAACGAGUGUGAGAGUGGAAAGUUCACACUGUGACGGUAUCUUACCAGAAAGGGACGGCUAACUACGUG
RNAcentral lists this ribosomal RNA (497 nucleotides) under uncultured bacterium. Its description in RNAcentral is "partial 16S ribosomal RNA". It matches the Rfam family "Bacterial small subunit ribosomal RNA", at positions 28 to 507 of the family's 1533-position model. The record is from RNAcentral.